Myodes glareolus (Bank vole) is the source of this 1989-nucleotide long non-coding RNA. RefSeq lists it as uncharacterized. Lineage: Eukaryota; Metazoa; Chordata; Mammalia; Rodentia; Cricetidae. The record is from RefSeq and is a predicted model, not a curated record.
GGUGUGACUUUGUUGGAGGAGGUGUGUUACCAGGGUGCAGCAGGCUUUGAGAUCUCAGCCUCUCAAGCUAGACCUUCGGAUCCAGAUGUAGAACUCUCAGCUCCCUCUCCAGGACCGCGCCUGCCCGUGUGCCACCAUGCUCCCUAUCAUAAUGAUAAUGAACGGCACCUCUGAAAUUUGUUCAAAACAGUCAGAAGGUGGAAACAAAAGGGCCUAAUACAGGCAUGGAAUGGAGCAACAAGAUGUGGUUUACUCAUAAACAGGAACAGCAUUCUGACACAUGCUACAUUGGUCAACACAUCAAGUUUGUGGCAGGAUGAAGAGCUGGCUUUCAGUCUGUGCUGUGGCCAGAGACGAUGGUGAUGACAGCAACGGUUUCCACAACAUUUUGUUAUAACAAGGAGGAGUCCUCUGAUGAGCUCAGAGCCUUUUGCCAGGACCUGUUCCUCUCUGGGGAGGCGGUUCUGGACUUUCAGGAGUGGCUUAGCCACGCCUCUGCUAGCUUUCUCUUUCACACUGCCAGCCCCAGUGAUUGGGCAAAUACAGCGAGAGACAACGUGUUUGAUCCUAUGCCAUAUAAAAGUCAAAUGGCUUCAGAAUGAAGAUGCAUUGAGCAAUGUGCUAUUAUUUACAGACACGAAGGCCAAAGAACAACUGAUUAACAGGGGCACUGAAAUAAAGACUCCAUGUUUAGCACACUCAUAAGAUGACACCAUUUCAGCUGGUCUGCCUAUCAAGAGUGGGAGUGCUCGCUUGGGCGGCGCUUCUCCCCAGUAACGAAAUGUUUUGACUUGAAAUGCCAAUGUUUCUUUCCGGAGGUUUCAGAAAUCGAACUCCAAAGAUGACUUUGCUCUUGCCCAUUCCCUCUGCAGCUGGGCCAUGCAGCUGGAAGCCUCUGCAGGCAGGGCUGCCAUUCGCUGCCACUAGCACAGGCUGUGUGUUUGGUUAAGAAAACGGGCCUGCUCGCUCGUUGGAGAGAACACUGACCCCUGGCUACCAAACAUGAAAGAGUCUUUUAUCACACACGGACUCUAUAAAACAAACUUUCUGGCAAGACUCUUUGCAGGGGUCAGUAUAGCAUACUACCUUAAAUCUGGUAGAUACUAAUGAGUGAAGACUGGUCCUCUGUAUGUGAAAAUUCUGAGGUUGCCAUGGCAUUCCUGUAAGACACUCACUGCUGCCAAAAACCAAAAUGAAAACCCCCACAGCAGGGCUUCAUCUGCAGGUUAUUUCUGUUCUAGUGAGGGCUCUCUAUGGCUGUGAUAAAACAUUGACCAAAACCAGCUCAGGGGAGGAAGGGGCUGAUUUCCUCUAACAGCUGCCCAGUUCACAGUCGAAAACUGAGGGCCCAGGGCAGGGACUCAAGGCAGGAACCUGGAGGCAGGAGCUGAAGCAGAGACCGCAGAGAAACGCUGUUCUCUGGCUUGCUUUCAUGCUGCCAAAACCAAUACCACGUGGGAGACUCACGCAUUCCCAAGUUUGGCUACCAGCUUGAGAUGCAGCCUCCCCCACCCACCACCACCACAGCUUCUGUGUGCUGACCCCGAGGAACUACUCAGGGGAUCUCUCAGGGACUGCCAAUUCUUUAGGCCCAGCUGACCAGAAUCAAUUAUCUCAAUAAAGCAAAGGUUUCACUUCGGUGGUGCCGGUCUAUUAAUCACAGCUGACCAGAAACCACCGAUUCUUAAUUCAAAAUACCAACUAAAUGGUGCAAUCGUCUUUGAGGGAUUCUCAGUCUUCUCAGGCCUUGGCCCUCGGCGCCUCUAUAACAUUGCUUUCUCCCAGGCUCCCAUAACAGCUUCUUAAGCUCUCAUCACUGGGUGGCCUUUUCAAGCCCAAACCUUCCAAAGCCUUCCAUAAUUCUCCCAUAACAAUACGGUCACGCCCAUCACCACAAUACCACACUCUCUGGUACCGAUUUCUGGUUUCCGUUGCUGUGAUAAACACCACAACCAAAAAGCAACUUGGGGAGGAAAGGGUUUGUUUGGU